Molecule: ribosomal RNA, 406 nt
Filed under: uncultured Burkholderiales bacterium
Lineage: Bacteria; Pseudomonadati; Pseudomonadota; Betaproteobacteria; Burkholderiales
Description: bacterial SSU rRNA
Rfam family: Bacterial small subunit ribosomal RNA
Source: RNAcentral
UACCCUUGACAUGUCUGGAACCCUGCUGAAAGGUGGGGUGCUCGAAAGAGAGCCAGAACACAGGUGCUGCAUGGCUGUCGUCAGCUCGUGUCGUGAGAUGUUGGGUUAAGUCCCGCAACGAGCCGCAACCCUUGUCAUUAGUUGCUACGAAAGGGCACUCUAAUGAGACUGCCGGUGACAAACCGGAGGAAGGUGGGGAUGACGUCAAGUCCUCAUGGCCCUUAUGGGUAGGGCUUCACACGUCAUACAAUGGUCGGUACAGAGGGUAGCCAACCCGCGAGGGGGAGCCAAUCCCAGAAAACCGAAUCGUAGUCCGGAUCGCAGUCUGCAACUCGACUGCGUGAAGUCGGAAUCGCUAGUAAUCGGGGAUCAAGCUACGCCCCGGUGAAUAUGUUCCUGACGCCUU